This is a long non-coding RNA of Oncorhynchus tshawytscha (Chinook salmon), 3080 nucleotides long. The record is from Ensembl. Lineage: Eukaryota; Metazoa; Chordata; Actinopteri; Salmoniformes; Salmonidae.
GGGUAGGGUAGAGAAGAGAGGGUAGAGAAGAGAGGAUAGAGUAGAGGGGAUAGAUUUCAGUGACGCAGAAUAAAAACAUCAAAGGCUGCAGAGGAGAUGAUUCUCCAUUUUUCUCUCUUUCUCACUCUCUUGCCUUCUUUUCUCAUAAUUACACAUUUAAUUAUUUUUCUGCAUCUUUUCUUCCUCCUCCCUCUCCCUCGUCUCCUGCCUCCCUCUCCCUCGUCUCCUGCCUCCCUGCUCUCUCCUCCCUCACCUCGUGCUGCCUCCCUGUUCUCUUGCCUGCUAGGGUGAAUUUCCAUUGAACUAUUUUGUGUGGAUAAAAACAGCUGGACAUAAUGACGUCACACCUAAAACAACUAGUGUUGAAUACAAAUGCAGUGGUUAAAGUGUUUCCAUUACCCAUUUAGGCAAAUUGUGCAUUAAUACAUUGGCCACAGCCUGUAUGCCCUUCCACCUUCACUAUAUAUACAAAAGUAUGUGGACACCCCUUCAAAAUAGUGGAUUCAGCUAUGUCAGCCACAUCUGUUGCUGACAGGUGUAUAAAGUUGAGUACACAGCCAUGCAAUCUCCAUAGACAAACAGUGGCAGUAUAAUGGCCUUACUGUAGAGCUCAGUGACUUCCAACGUGGCACAGUCAUAGGAUGCCACCUUUCCAACAAGUCCGUUUGUCAAAUUUCCGGGGCUGACACUCUUAUGAUGAGUGCCAUGGGAUCUUUUAAUGACCUCAGAGAGCCAGGACACCCGUUUAACGUCCCAUCCGAAAGACGGAUGGGGGUAUUAUACAUUCUGUACCUUUAUACAUUUUGUAUAAUACCACCAGGAAGAAUCUGAAUCCUCGGUUGCAACACUCCCUACCGAAUUCCGAACUGUCUCUGGAAGCAAUGUCAGCACAAUAACUCUUCAUCUGCAAAGGGUUGCUACUUUGAAGAAUAUCAAAUAUAAAAUAUCAUUAAAUUUCUUUUAACACUUUUUUGGUUACUACAUGAUUUCAUAUGUGUUAUUUCAUAGUUUAGACCUCUUCACUAUUAUUCUACAACAUAGAAAAUAGUAAAAAUGAAGAAAAACCCUUGAAUGAAUAGGUGUGUCCAAGCUUUUGACUGGUACUGUACAUUCAGUCACAGUGGGUCCGACGUCGUUGAUGCGCUCAUUGAUGAAGCCAGUGACGGAGGUGUUAUACUCCUCAAUGGCAUUGGAUGAAUCCCAGAACAUAUUCCAGUCUGUGCAAACAGUCCUGUAGCGUAGCAUCCACGUCAUCUGACCACUUCCAUAUUGAGUGAGUCACUGGUAAUUCCUGUUUUAGUUUUAGCUUGUAAGCAGGAAUCAGGAGGAUAGAAUUAUGGUCAGAUUAGCCAAAUGGAGGGCGAGGGAGAGCUUUGUAUGCGUCUCUGUGUGUGGAGUAAAGGAAGUCUAUUUUUUCCCUCUGUUUGCACAUGUGACAUGCUGGUAGAAAUGAGUUAAAACGGAUUUAAGUUUCCCUACAUAAAUGUCCCCAGGCCACUAGGAGCGCCACUUCUGGAUGAGCAUUUUCUUGUUUGCUUAUGGCCUUAUACAGCUCGUUGAGUGCGGUCUUAGUGCCAACAUCGGUCUGUGGUGGAAAAUAGACGGCUACGAAUAAUAUAGAUGAGAACUCUCUUGGUAGAUAGUGUGGUCUACAGCUUAUCAUAAGGUAUUCUACCUCAGGUGAGCAAUACCUCGAGACUUCUUUAAUAUUAGACAUCGCGCACCAGCUGUUAUUGACAAAUAGACACACACCCCUGCCCCUCGUCUUACCAGACGUAGCUGCCCUGUCCUGCCUAUGUACGGAAAACCCAGCCAGCUCUAUAUUGUCGGUGUCGUCAUUCAGCCACGACUCAGUGAAACAUAAGAUAUUACAGGUUUUAAUGUCCCGUUGGUAGGAUAUUCUUAAUCGUAUAUCAUCCAAAUUCUCACAAGGCGCCCCAACCUAAUCUUUUCUUCACACGAAUGAUGGGGAUUUGUCUUGAGAAUGCAGUAUAUCCUUUGCGUCGGACUCAUUAAAGAAAAGUUCUUUGUCUAGUUCAAGGUGAGUAAUCGCUGUUCUGAUGUCCAGAUGCUCCUCUCGGUCAUAAGAGACUGUAGCAGCUCCAUUAUUUACAAACAAUGCAAAAAAACUAACAAAAUAGCACAGUUUAUUAGGAGCCUGUAAAAAGGCAGCCAUCCCCUCCAGCGGCAUUCUUAACAUACUAAAGUUCGGUCGCUAAAUGUGUUGUUGGAGCAGGUGUCGACACUGAUAGGAUCGAAAGAAAGGCAGCGCUGCGAUCAGCUUUCUCCAUUUAAAUCUUUCCUUUACAUUAUAGUUAUUCCACAAUACUGACGACGGAUCAGCUCCUGGAGAGAUAUUACCACCUACGGUUGCAAAUAUUGAGGCGGCUUAUUCUAAUGCUUACCCAAUAAAAAUGCACAAAAUCAUCAAUUUGGCACAUUAUUGCGCACAUGUAAGGCUACACAUCAUGGCAUACAUGGAGAUAAAUUAUAGACAGUAGCCUACAAGCAGCAAAAUAGAACUCAAUGUGAUUGUAGCCUUUUUUUAUGAAUUCAUCUCAGUUUUCAUUUGAAGCAUAUUUGUAUACGUCGCUUGCAAAGACAAAUUCAUAUUUGUAGACAACUUUUGUUCGGAAGUUAUCAGCCUCACAGAGAAAACCGCUCAACUAUUUAACAAUGCUCCUACGAAUGUUCUAACGAUGAACUUAGCCUUAAGAUGCUUUUGGUAAACCAGGCCCUGGACUGUGAUUUAGGUCUGUGAUUUAGGUCUGGAAUUUAGGUCUGUGAUUUAGGUGUGUGAUUUAGGUGUGUGAUUUAGGUCUGUGAUUUAGGUCUGUGAUUUAGGUCUGUGAUUUAGGUCUGUGAUUUAGGUCUGUGAUUUAGGUCUGUGAUUUAGGUGUGUGAUUUAGGUCUGUGAUUUAGGUCUGUGAUUUAGGUGUGUGAUUUAGGUGUGUGAUUUAGGUCUGUGAUUUAGGUCUGUGAUUUAGGUGUGUGAUUUAGGUCUGUGAUUUAGGUCUGUGAUUUAGGUGUGUGAUUUAGGUGUGUGAUUUAGGUCUGUGAUUUAGGUCUGUGAUUUAGGU